Molecule: ribosomal RNA, 330 nt
Filed under: uncultured eukaryote
Lineage: Eukaryota
Description: partial 18S ribosomal RNA
Rfam family: Eukaryotic small subunit ribosomal RNA
Source: RNAcentral
CCCUUAGAUGUCCGGGGCCGCACGCGCGCUACACUGAAGGAAUCAGCGUGGCUCUGUCCCUGGUCCGAAAGGAUUGGGAAACCCGUUGAAUCUCCUUCGUGAUAGGGAUUGGGGCUUGGAACUGUUCCCCAUGAACGAGGAAUUCCCAGUAAGCGCGAGUCAUAAGCUCGCGUUGAUUACGUCCCUGCCCUUUGUACACACCGCCCGUCGCUACUACCGAUUGAAUGGUCCGGUGAAGCGUUCGGACCGUGGCCUUUGGACGGUUCGCCGUCUGUUGGCUGCGGGAAGUUCGUUAAACCUUAUCAUUUAGAGGAAGGAGAAGUCGUAACA